Small nucleolar RNA from Gigantopelta aegis, 134 nucleotides. RefSeq annotates it as small nucleolar RNA SNORD10. Lineage: Eukaryota; Metazoa; Mollusca; Gastropoda; Neomphalida; Peltospiridae. The transcript has a single exon. The record is from RefSeq and is a predicted model, not a curated record.
GUAAUAUGAUGACAUCAUGCGUGUCAUUUGAUUUCCAAAUAGUAUUUCUUCUUGAAGCUGGAUUUGGUGUUUUUCCACAUUCAGUGAAUGGGAACUACAUUUUGGAAAAUAUGAUUCUGUUUUGUUCUGAUUAC